GGGAUUGCCUCAGUAACGGCGAGUGAAGCGGCAACAGCUCAAAUUUGAAAUCUGGUCCUUGCGGCCCGAGUUGUAAUUUGCAGAGGAUGCUUUUGGCGCGGUGCCUUCCAAGUUCCCUGGAACGGGACGCCUUAGAGGGUGAGAGCCCCGUACGGUUGGACACCAAGCCUUUGUAAAGCUCCUUCGACGAGUCGAGUAGUUUGGGAAUGCUGCUCUAAAUGGGAGGUAUAUUUCUUCUAAAGCUAAAUACCGGCCAGAGACCGAUAGCGCACAAGUAGAGUGAUCGAAAGAUGAAAAGCACUUUGAAAAGAGGGUUAAACAGCACGUGAAAUUGUUAAAAGGGAAGCGCUUGUGACCAGACUUGCGCCCGGUGAAUCACCCAGCUCUCGCGGCUGGGGCACUUUGCCGGCUCAGGCCAGCAUCAGCUUGCCGUCGGGGACAAAAGCUUCGGGAACGUAGCUCUCUUCGGGGAGUGUUAUAGCCCGUUGCACAAUACCCUUCGGCGGGCUGAGGUACGCGCUCCGCAAGGAUGCUGGCAUAAUGGUCAUCAGCGACCCGUCUUGAAACACGGACCAAGGAGUCAACCUUAUGUGCGAGUGUUCGGGUGUCAAACCCCUACGCGUAAUGAAAGUGAACGCAGGUGAGAGCUUCGGCGCAUCAUCGACCGAUCCUGAUGUUCUCGGAUGGAUUUGAGUAAGAGCAUAUAGGGUUGGACCCGAAAGAAGGUGAACUAUGCGUGUAUAGGGUGAAGCCAGAGGAAACUCUGGUGGAGGCUCGCAGCGGUUCUGACGUGCAAAUCGAUCGUCAAAUAUGCGCAUGGGGGCGAAAGACUAAU
This 835-nucleotide ribosomal RNA is filed under the name Colletotrichum gigasporum. RNAcentral describes it as "LSU rRNA". It matches the Rfam family "Eukaryotic large subunit ribosomal RNA", at positions 71 to 935 of the family's 3401-position model. Lineage: Eukaryota; Fungi; Ascomycota; Sordariomycetes; Glomerellales; Glomerellaceae. The record is from RNAcentral.